RNAcentral lists this transfer RNA (76 nucleotides) under Klebsiella pneumoniae. RNAcentral describes it as "tRNA-Thr". It matches the Rfam family "tRNA". Rfam says of the family: Transfer RNA (tRNA) molecules are approximately 80 nucleotides in length. Their secondary structure includes four short double-helical elements and three loops (D, anti-codon, and T loops). Further hydrogen bonds mediate the characteristic L-shaped molecular structure. tRNAs have two regions of fundamental functional importance: the anti-codon, which is responsible for specific mRNA codon recognition, and the 3' end, to which the tRNAs corresponding amino acid is attached (by aminoacyl-tRNA synthetases). tRNAs cope with the degeneracy of the genetic code in two manners: having more than one tRNA (with a specific anti-codon) for a particular amino acid; and 'wobble' base-pairing, i.e. permitting non-standard base-pairing at the 3rd anti-codon position. The record is from RNAcentral. Lineage: Bacteria; Pseudomonadati; Pseudomonadota; Gammaproteobacteria; Enterobacterales; Enterobacteriaceae.
GCUGAUAGAGCUCAGUUGGUAGAGCGCACCCUUGGUAAGGGUGAGGUCCCCAGUUCGACUCUGGGUAUCAGCACCA